Molecule: long non-coding RNA, 646 nt
Organism: Pezoporus flaviventris
Lineage: Eukaryota; Metazoa; Chordata; Aves; Psittaciformes; Psittacidae
Exons: 2
Source: RefSeq, a predicted model, not a curated record
GCACCCAAAGCAGCCGUCGUACCGUGGUGCGCUGGGGGUGGCCGUAGCGUUGGCACUAAGACCCGCGCGAACUUUCCAAACAGCACUGGCUGUUCAUUAAGAGCGUUGGGGUGUGAAAAUUGCUGGCAGUCAUUAAUUUGAGACCACAGACCAUGAGGUUUGGGAGGAGAGUUUCCACCACUCCCUCCUUUAAAUAAAUCGGUGGAUUGCCUCCCUCUGCUACCAGUCCUUAUUAAUUAGUCCUGCCCAAGGCACCAGUCAUGAUGUAAAGAAGCUGAGGACAAGGCAGGGACCUGUGCAACCUGCUUCCUACUGCUCGACAUCUCCUAGGGUUGUCUGCCUGUCCAAGGAAGGAGCAUAAAUUCCCAGCAGAUGUGACAAAUCACCCAGACCCACUGGCCAGGUAUCAAUGGCAGCAACAGGGAAUACCCACAACUUCAGGGGCAGGAAAAAACGACUGAGCUGACUUUUCAUGUGACUCCAAAUGGGAGGAUCAAAGUGUAUGUCCCAGCUACAAACCAGCUUCAGCUUACUGGAAAAUGGAUUGAAAUGAUCAUUAACCACAUGUUCCGGGCUUGCACUGUAUUCAGAAGGUUUGCUGUAACUCAAGCUAGAAAAAUAAAGUCCAGAGAGCUGAGAAAGGAAA